GACAACUUAGGUUAACAAAACCAAGGGACCUUUAAAGCCCUAAACAGGGAAUMCACCCCCCCUCCUAGUU
This 70-nucleotide transfer RNA is filed under the name Saurodactylus mauritanicus. RNAcentral's name for it is "tRNA-Trp". The record is from RNAcentral. Lineage: Eukaryota; Metazoa; Chordata; Lepidosauria; Squamata; Sphaerodactylidae.